GUGGGGAAUAUUGGACAAUGGACCAAAAGUCUGAUCCAGCAAUUCUGUGUGCACGAUGAAGUUUUUCGGAAUGUAAAGUGCUUUCAGUUGGGACGAAGUAAGUGACGGUACCAAUAGAAGAAGCGACGGCUAAAUACGUGCCAGCAGCCGCGGUAAUACGUAUGUCGCAAGCGUUAUCCGGAUUUAUUGGGCGUAAAGCGCGUCUAGGCGGUUUGGUAAGUCUGAUGUGAAAAUGCGGGGCUCAACUCCGUAUUGCGUUGGAAACUGCCAAACUAGAGUACUGGAGAGGUGGGCGGAACUACAAGUGUAGAGGUGAAAUUCGUAGAUAUUUGUAGGAAUGCCGAUGGGGAAGCCAGCCCACUGGACAGAUACUGACGCUAAAGCGCGAAAGCGUGGGUAGCAAACAGGA
Molecule: ribosomal RNA, 409 nt
Filed under: uncultured bacterium
Lineage: Bacteria
Description: bacterial SSU rRNA
Rfam family: Bacterial small subunit ribosomal RNA
Source: RNAcentral